Molecule: ribosomal RNA, 568 nt
Filed under: uncultured Thauera sp.
Lineage: Bacteria; Pseudomonadati; Pseudomonadota; Betaproteobacteria; Rhodocyclales; Zoogloeaceae
Description: bacterial SSU rRNA
Rfam family: Bacterial small subunit ribosomal RNA
Source: RNAcentral
AGAGUUUGAUCCUGGCUCAGAUUGAACGCUGGCGGCAUGCUUUACACAUGCAAGUCGAACGGCAGCGGGGGCUUCGGCCUGCCGGCGAGUGGCGAACGGGUGAGUAAUGCAUCGGAACGUGCCCAUGUCGUGGGGGAUAACGUAUCGAAAGGUACGCUAAUACCGCAUACGUCCUGAGGGAGAAAGCUGGGGAUCUUCGGACCUCGCGCGAUUGGAGCGGCCGAUGUCGGAUUAGCUAGUAGGUGAGGUAAAGGCUCACCUAGGCGACGAUCCGUAGCGGGUCUGAGAGGAUGAUCCGCCACACUGGGACUGAGACACGGCCCAGACUCCUACGGGAGGCAGCAGUGGGGAAUUUUGGACAAUGGGCGCAAGCCUGAUCCAGCCAUGCCGCGUGAGUGAAGAAGGCCUUCGGGUUGUAAAGCUCUUUCGGCCGGGAAGAAAUCGUGGUCUCUAACAUAGGCCAUGGAUGACGGUACCGGACUAAGAAGCACCGGCUAACUACGUGCCAGCAGCCGCGGUAAUACGUAGGGUGCGAGCGUUAAUCGGAAUUACUGGGCGUAAAGCGUGC